UUCAGGGUCGUCCGUUGAGGGUGCUGCUCCACCUAAGUCCAGCAAUGAGUACGGUGGUACGGACAUGGCCCACAGAGGGUGAAAGGCCCGUGGGGGUGGAGAUCAGGCAGGCCAGUGCCUCUCUGGGUAGACCUUGGAGUCGGGUUGUUUGUGAAUGCAGCCCAAAGUGGGUGGUAAACUCCAUCCAAGGCUAAAUACUUGCACGAGUCCGAUAGCGAACAAGUACCGUGAGGGAAAGUUGAAAAGUACUUUGAAGAGAGAGUAAACAGUGCGUGAAACCGCUCAGAGGUAAGCGGGUGGAGUUGAACUGCAAGCUUUGAGAAUUCAGCUGGUGAGUAUGGUUUGAGCUUGGUCAAGUUUGGCUGGAUAUUGAGGUCUGCGUAGUGGCAGGUUCUAGUCCCUCGGGGCAGGAUGCGCGAUACACUUAUCAAGUGUUGUGCGCCUCAGUAUUAUUCGGGCCUACUCGCCAGUGCACUUUCUCAGAGUGUUCACCACGACCGGCACUGCUGUCUGGCUGUAGUGGUUAAACCGGGCUUACAUCGUCCUUGUGGCUUUGCAUGUUCGGGAAGGCAGGUGGCACGUUGGCUUGCUUGUAGUUUACUGCAGGCAUUUGGUCUUCGUGUGUAAUCAGCUGACCACAACAGUUCUGUGCAGUGUGUCGGGGCUAGCGGCUUGUGGUACUUGCGUGCGUGCUUGUUCUGCUGGCGAGUCCGGGUUUGGUUAUCAUGUUGCCUGCAAGUGCAGGCCUGG
This 750-nucleotide ribosomal RNA is filed under the name Nanophyetus salmincola. RNAcentral describes it as "partial large subunit ribosomal RNA". It matches the Rfam family "Eukaryotic large subunit ribosomal RNA", at positions 150 to 628 of the family's 3401-position model. The record is from RNAcentral. Lineage: Eukaryota; Metazoa; Platyhelminthes; Trematoda; Plagiorchiida; Nanophyetidae.